Long non-coding RNA from Myotis myotis, 3321 nucleotides. RefSeq lists it as uncharacterized. The record is from RefSeq and is a predicted model, not a curated record. Lineage: Eukaryota; Metazoa; Chordata; Mammalia; Chiroptera; Vespertilionidae. The transcript has 2 exons.
GGGAGAGAAAUUGAUGUGAGAGAGACACAUCGAUAGAUUCCCUCAUGCACGUGCCCAGACCAGGUACAUGCCCCCGACUGAGAACUGAGCUUGAAACCCUUCAGUGUGCGGGUUGAUGCUCUAACCACUGAGGAGUACUGGCCAGGGCAGAUUCAUUCUUACCAUAGGUCUUGGCAACCUCAGCAUACGAUUUUUCUUCAUUUCUUAUUAAGUUGAGGACUUUCACCUUUUCACCUAAAAGAAGCACUUUAUGGCUUCUCUUUGGCAUAACCGAAUUGCCAGCAUCACUACUCUUGUGCUUUGGGGUCAUUCUUAAGUAAAAUGAGGCCUACUUGAACACAAGCACUGCGAUACCAGAACAGGCUCUGAUAAUUCAGAUGGCUACUAAGUGACAAAUGGGCAAGGAGUCUAUCCAGCAUGGAGAUGCUGGACAAAGGGAUGAUUCACAGCCUUGUGGGACAGAGCAGGACAGCAUGAAAUUUCAUUCACUACUCAGAAUGGUGCACAAUUUAAAACUUAGAUAAGUUUAUUUCUGGGAUUUUCCAUGUAAUAUUUUGGACCACGGGGAAACAAAAUUGGAUGAGGAGGGCCUGUAUACAUAAACCUUAGCUAGCUCUCAUGAUACAGUGACAAACAGACUUGGUGGUGGUCUUCAAAUAGUUACCGUUUCUUCCCGAUGACAGUGAUUCGCCCCAAGAGUUGGUUUCUUAUUUUGAAAGACGUUACCUUGGAGAAAACCAAGUGGAGGCCCUCUUUGAGGGAGAAGAAAGGAACACACAUUUCCCAUAGAAUGAAGACAAGUGCUUAGGUACAAUCCACACAAAAAAUAAAAUCCGUUACUUGCGCAGUAUUGCCAUGAAUCUACACAUAUUUUGUUGUUAAUCCUCACCUGAGAAUAUUUUUCUCCACUGAUAUUUAGAGAGAGUGGAAGGGAGUGAAGGGGAAGAGAGAGAGAGAGAAACAUUGAUGUGAGAGAGACACAUCGAUUGGUUGUCUCCUGCAUGUUCCCCUACCGGGGCUAGGGAUUGAACCUGCAACCCAGGUAUGCGUCUCUGACCUGGAAGCAAACCUACGACCCUUCAGUGUGAGGGCCGACGCUCUCACCACUGAGAAACACUGGCCAGGGCCAUUAUGUCCUUUUUUAAAAAUUUUGUUUUUUAUUGUCAUUAUGUCCUCUCUAAUGUUGUGAUUUUAUCUUUUUUAUGGCAAAAUUGCCUUAUGGUCAAUGAGUUUUACAGCGAAAAUGUUUGUGGCAGAAAUGCUUGCCACAAAUAUGCUUCAGUGAAAGUAUCUAGAACCAUUUACAGUAUAGGAUCUGCAAAAUACACAGACCUGGAGAAGGGAACCAGCUGAAAGCUUUCCAGGGCUGGCAGGAGGCCUGAGUGCUGAGGCAGAGUGCAGGGUGGGGCUUGUUGGAGCACUGGAGCUGAAGUCCCAGGGGCUGGUGUGUCCAUCAGGCAGGCUUUGUGGGCCAGAGUAAAGGGUUUGAGUUUUCUAAGUAUGAAGACAGCCUUUGGCAGGUUUAAGCAGAGGAGUGAUGUGAUGCUAAUUUACAUUUUAGAAAGACCCAGCUAUGAGUGGAGAAGAGUGUAGGGGGCCAGGCUGGCAGCAAAAAUCUAUUGAGGAAGCCCUGCAAUGGUCCACGUGAGAGACUAUGACUGCCUGGGCCAGGGUGGGGCCGUGAGAUAAAGAGAAGUGGCAGAUCUGGGGUAUAAUUUUGGGAGACUCAGCAGCCCAGAGCUGUGGGGGUGAGGAAGGGGGGUGUAGUGACUAACCCUGAUGUUCCCCCUUCUCAAGCCUCCCCCCACCACCUUGUCCCCCACCUUGCCUCCUCAGCCCCCUACAGCUCUCCAUGGCCCCUCUGGGGCCUGCUACCCGCCCACCAGGCCCCUGGUGUUCUGGCUUCCCAGCUGGUCCCAAUUGUUGUCACUCCCCAGGGAGUCAUGGGAACACACACCCCCUCCUCCCUCAACCCCUCUCCCAGACAAGGCCAGGCCCUAACAAUGCCCCCUCAGCCAGCCAAUGGCCUGGACACAAGACCCCUGAUUCUAUUCAUUGCCAGCUCCAGGAGGCCUGCUGGGAUUCCUGGCCUGUUUGGCAUAUAUAUAACUCUGGCUUCCAGGAGGGAUUUGUUGUUGUUGUUAAAAAAAAUACACACAACUCUGCCUCCUCUUCUCUGGAUCUCUUAAUAUAUUAUAAAAAGCCUUUCUCUUCCCAUCCUGAGCCCUCUCUACUCCCUUUCCUGAAUGCAUUUGGCAUGUGCCCGUCAAUCCAGGACCAAAUGCAGGUCAGCAGGUGCCAGUGAGAAAAUGAGAAAAAGAAAGAAAAGCUGCUCACUCCACCGUGGCCAACCUCGAAUGUGCUGGUGAGGAUGAAGAUCACGAGACUAAUCUGAGAGCUUAUGACAUGGCAGGCACUGUGCCCAGCGCUUUUUGUACACCAUAUCUCAUUACUUCUGAGACUCCAUUGAAGAUGAGGUGCAACAUUAUUUUGAGCCCCUGAGAAAGAAAAAAGCUACUGAGCAAAAAUGGACAUCAUGUAGUCCCAAGUUUCUAUGGAAGGAAUUAUAACAAACAUCUUACAAGAAAAUACAAAGGAAAACACAAACUGUGAGGGUCCUUUAUACUGAGCUACAUUUAGAAACAAUCAACUUUUAAAGAGAAGUUUAUUUCUUGUAUAUGACCUGGAAUUCUUCCCGUCUGAAAACAGGUGCAGAAAUGGCUACCUCCAAGUGAGUUGCAUAAACAUAUUUCUUGAGGGUGUUUUUCUUCCCUCUCAGAUACUUGUUUUUAUUUAAGAUUGUUACAUGGUCAAUGAAAUGCUAACUUCUAUUCCAGUCUUUGCUGGAAGGAAGUGCUUAUUCAUUAAUUGGAAAGAAAAGGAAAGAACCCAACUGGUUAAACUAACCACUUUCUGUUUUCAACAUCAUCUGCCAGAAAUAAUGUCUGGCAUUAUGAGGGGGAGAAAAACAAAUACAGUUGGAGAUUUGAGAAAAAUCAAUUCAUUUUAGCAUUAUGUUACUUUUAUGAAGGAAAAUUAAAAAAAACAAAAAAAACAAAGAAGUGGUUGUGAAUCACAACCCCAGGUAUUAAAAUAUGAAAUGUUUGCUUAUCUUGGUUCCUGAGUUCUGCCUUAGCCAAAAGUUAGUUUUCCUGGAAGAUAUAUAAAGACCCUUGGAUUUCUAGAAAACUUUUUAGUGAAUGUGUCAUUAUCCUUAACAGGACUCUGAUGGUUCUCUAAAUGUUACAGCUACUUCCCUAAAUUAGUUUUUAUUUUUGUAAGAACAUAGUUUAUGCAUUAAAAAGAAGUGCUUUCAAAUUC